This 1435-nucleotide ribosomal RNA is filed under the name uncultured organism. RNAcentral describes it as "16S ribosomal RNA". It matches the Rfam family "Bacterial small subunit ribosomal RNA". The record is from RNAcentral.
UAACACAUGCAAGUCGAGGGGCAUCAGGAAUAAAGCUUGCUUUCUUUGCUGGCGACCGGCGCACGGGUGAGUAACACGUAUCCAACCUGCCCUUUACUCGGGGAUAGCCUUUCGAAAGAAAGAUUAAUACCCGAUAGCAUAAUGAUUCCGCAUGGUUUCAUUAUUAAAGGAUUCCGGUAAAGGAUGGGGAUGCGUUCCAUUAGGUUGUUGGUGAGGUAACGGCCCACCAAGCCUUCGAUGGAUAGGGGUUCUGAGAGGAAGGUCCCCCACAUUGGAACUGAGACACGGUCCAAACUCCUACGGGAGGCAGCAGUGAGGAAUAUUGGUCAAUGGGCGCUAGCCUGAACCAGCCAAGUAGCGUGAAGGAUGAAGGCUCUAUGGGUCGUAAACUUCUUUUAUAUAAGAAUAAAGUGCAGUAUGUAUACUGUUUUGUAUGUAUUAUAUGAAUAAGGAUCGGCUAACUCCGUGCCAGCAGCCGCGGUAAUACGGAGGAUCCGAGCGUUAUCCGGAUUUAUUGGGUUUAAAGGGAGCGUAGGUGGACUGGUAAGUCAGUUGUGAAAGUUUGCGGCUCAACCGUAAAAUUGCAGUUGAUACUGUCAGUCUUGAGUACAGUAGAGGUGGGCGGAAUUCGUGGUGUAGCGGUGAAAUGCUUAGAUAUCACGAAGAACUCCGAUUGCGAAGGCAGCUCACUGGACUGCAACUGACACUGAUGCUCGAAAGUGUGGGUAUCAAACAGGAUUAGAUACCCUGGUAGUCCACACAGUAAACGAUGAAUACUCGCUGUUUGCGAUAUACAGUAAGCGGCCAAGCGAAAGCAUUAAGUAUUCCACCUGGGGAGUACGCCGGCAACGGUGAAACUCAAAGGAAUUGACGGGGGCCCGCACAAGCGGAGGAACAUGUGGUUUAAUUCGAUGAUACGCGAGGAACCUUACCCGGGCUUAAAUUGCAGUGGAAUGAUGUGGAAACAUGUCAGUGAGCAAUCACCGCUGUGAAGGUGCUGCAUGGUUGUCGUCAGCUCGUGCCGUGAGGUGUCGGCUUAAGUGCCAUAACGAGCGCAACCCUUAUCUUCAGUUACUAACAGGUUAUGCUGAGGACUCUGGAGAGACUGCCGUCGUAAGAUGUGAGGAAGGUGGGGAUGACGUCAAAUCAGCACGGCCCUUACGUCCGGGGCUACACACGUGUUACAAUGGGGGGUACAGAAGGCAGCUACCUGGUGACAGGAUGCUAAUCCCAAAAGCCUCUCUCAGUUCGGAUCGAAGUCUGCAACCCGACUUCGUGAAGCUGGAUUCGCUAGUAAUCGCGCAUCAGCCACGGCGCGGUGAAUACGUUCCCGGGCCUUGUACACACCGCCCGUCAAGCCAUGGGAGCCGGGGGUACCUGAAGUACGUAACCGCAAGGAUCGUCCUAGGGUAAAACUGGUGACUGGGGCUAAGUC